RNAcentral lists this ribosomal RNA (263 nucleotides) under uncultured bacterium. Its description in RNAcentral is "partial 16S ribosomal RNA". It matches the Rfam family "Bacterial small subunit ribosomal RNA", at positions 524 to 786 of the family's 1533-position model. The record is from RNAcentral.
UACGUAGGUGGCGAGCGUUGUCCGGAAUUACUGGGUGUAAAGGGCGUGUAGGCGGGACUGCAAGUCAGAUGUGAAAUACCGGGGCUCAACUCCGGGGCUGCAUUUGAAACUGUAGUUCUUGAGUGCAGGAGAGGAAAGCGGAAUUCCUAGUGUAGCGGUGAAAUGCGUAGAGAUUAGGAGGAACACCAGUGGCGAAGGCGGCUUUCUGGACUGUAACUGACGCUGAGGCGCGAAAGCGUGGGGAGCGAACAGGAUUAGAUACC